UACGAAGGGAGCUAGCGUUGUUCGGAAUUACUGGGCGUAAAGGGCGCGUAGGCGGCUUGGUACGUUGGGUGUGAAAGCCCAGGGCUCAACCCUGGAAUAGCACUCAAUACUGCCUUGCUUGAAUUCGGUAGAGGUUGGUGGAAUUCCCAGUGUAGAGGUGAAAUUCGUAGAGAUUGGGAAGAACACCCGUGGCGAAGGCGGCCAACUGGACCGACAUUGACGCUGAGGCGCGAAAGCGUGGGGAUCAAACAGG
RNAcentral lists this ribosomal RNA (253 nucleotides) under uncultured bacterium. Its description in RNAcentral is "partial 16S ribosomal RNA". It matches the Rfam family "Bacterial small subunit ribosomal RNA", at positions 524 to 776 of the family's 1533-position model. The record is from RNAcentral.